GUUUGUAUAGUUUAAUCAAAUCGCAAGGCUGUUAACUUUGAGAUGCUUAGUUUGGGGCUGCAAACG
Molecule: transfer RNA, 66 nt
Filed under: Cichlidogyrus sclerosus
Lineage: Eukaryota; Metazoa; Platyhelminthes; Monogenea; Dactylogyridea; Ancyrocephalidae
Description: tRNA-Asn
Source: RNAcentral